UAGGCUUAGGGCUGAUCGAUCUCCCUCUCA
This 30-nucleotide non-coding RNA is filed under the name Rattus norvegicus (Norway rat). The record is from RNAcentral. Lineage: Eukaryota; Metazoa; Chordata; Mammalia; Rodentia; Muridae.